GUAACUUCCGGUGUGUUAGUCAAAUAAAUACAAGUCAUCUGCUUCUCAUUCCGAUCAUCAUGUCGGCUUUGUGGAUUCUCCUGGUUGUCAUAUCGGCGUCUCUGUGCCCUGGAGACUCCAUGUUCAUCAAAGACCCUCUGGCAUUCGUGAAUCACAAUACCCCGAAGGCCAUCUGCUCAGAGUGCAAGCAGAUCAUUCAGCGCUCUGCUAACAUGAUUCCCAGCGUGGACAGUAAGGGGCGCAUGUACGAAACCUUGCUCGCACUCUGCCAGCACCUCCCGGACAAACGGGCGUUGGAAUGUGACACUCAGUUGAAGAUGUAUUUGCCCAAAAUCCUGCUGCAACCACGUGGUGACGGGGAAGUGGAAGACACCUGUUCGGCUUUCGGGCUGUGCGCUGUCCUCCAGGAUGAGGAAGAGGUGGCACUUCCCCACCAGGACGCUGAGGAAGACGUGCCUGCGCUCACCAACACCCAUGAGCAGUUGAACCCGGCUUGUACCCUGUGCUUGUUUAUUAUCAAGAAACUGGAGACUCUGUUGCCCCAAAAUAUGACUGAGGACGCUUUGAUGAAGCUCAUGGGCGAGGUCUGCGAUCUCCUCCCUCAGAGCUACAAGGACGACUGCGACAACUUUGUCGACAAAUACGGCGUACAGAUAGUGGAGUUCCUGCUGUCUUCGGCCGCCCCUCACACCAUUUGCACGCUGCUGCACAUCUGUUUGUUCAAGGACUCUCCUGCUCCAGAGGCGCCCGUCCCGUCCGACUGCGAUUCCUGCCGUACGCUGGCCGCGCUGAGCCGACUUCGACUGGCCGUCAACGCCACUAAGCCUAAGACGUCGUCUUUCCUCGAGUCGGUGUGCGGUCAUCACCCCAAUGCCAUCCCAAAGUGUGAGGAGUUCACCAGAAUCUACGGCGCAAGACUGCAGCAGUUUUUGGGAAAGGAGGUGGACCAUAAAGACAUUUGUGAAAGAGCUGAUCUGUGCACUGCAAAGAAGUCCGAGCUGCUGGGAAGCAACCCCUGCACUUGGGGGCCAAGCUACUGGUGCAGAAACACAAACACGGCUCACAAGUGUGGUAAUGUUGCCUUCUGUGAGAAGCACAUGUGGAAGAAGUGAAUAGCUCAAUUCAACACAAGACACACGCAGACAGCUCACCUGGAUGUAGGCCUCUGAUAAAGUGAUCAUCUGAGGGAGGAUGUCGAUCACCUGCAGGUCCUGCAUCUCGUACCACUUUCCAGUUCCCUGAUUGGGCACAACAAGACCUUUUUUUCUGUACCACUGCUUGAAGAAGGUGUCCUCUAAAAACUGGCAGUGGUUAAUUUUAAGUCCUCCUCCUACCCCAAACAGUCAACAACCAGCUCAUCUGUGAUGAUACCAGGCCAGACCAGAAGCCCACCCAGUCGACUGUGUGUCUUGUUCAGUGGUGGUCGGAUUUCAGCCUUCCUUGCCUUGCAUAUGUCUCCGAGUACUCCAGGUAGGUUAC
RNA transcript from Phycodurus eques (leafy seadragon), 1479 nucleotides. It is a transcript of the gene named surfactant protein Bb, with no coding region annotated. The record is from RefSeq and is a predicted model, not a curated record. NCBI's taxonomy places the organism in Eukaryota, Metazoa, Chordata, Actinopteri, Syngnathiformes, Syngnathidae. The transcript is spliced from 13 exons.